This 459-nucleotide ribosomal RNA is filed under the name uncultured bacterium. RNAcentral's name for it is "partial 16S ribosomal RNA". It matches the Rfam family "Bacterial small subunit ribosomal RNA", at positions 338 to 795 of the family's 1533-position model. The record is from RNAcentral.
CCUACGGAGGUAGAAGUGAGGAAGAGUGGGCAAAGGACGAGAGUCCGAACCAGGCAAGUAGCGUGAAGGAAGAACGCCCUAGGGGUUGUAAACUUCUUUUAUAAAGGAAUAAAACGAGGCACGUGUGCCUUUUUGCAUGUACUUUAUGAAUAAGGAUCGGCUAACCCCGUGCCAGCAGCCGCGGUAAUACGGAGGAUCCGAGCGUUAUCCGGAUUUAUUGGGUUUAAAGGGAGCGUAGAUGGGUUGUUAAGUCAGUUGUGAAAGUUUGCGGCUCAACCGUAAAAUUGCAGUUGAUACUGGCAGUCUUGAGUACAGUUGAGGUAGGCGGAAUUCGUGGUGUAGCGGUGAAAUGCUUAGAUAUCACGAAGAACCCCGAUUGCGAAGGCAGCUUACUAAACUGUGACUGACAUUGAUGCUCGAAAGUGUGGGUAUCAAACAGGAUUAGAUACCCGAGUAGUC